This 301-nucleotide ribosomal RNA is filed under the name uncultured bacterium. RNAcentral describes it as "partial 16S ribosomal RNA". It matches the Rfam family "Bacterial small subunit ribosomal RNA", at positions 509 to 808 of the family's 1533-position model. The record is from RNAcentral.
CAGUAGCCGCGGUAAGACGAACCGUGCGAACGUUAUUCGGAAUCACUGGGCUUAAAGCGCGUGUAGGCGGAUGGGAGCGUCGGCCUCUGAAAUCCCCCGGCUCAACCUGGGAACUGCAUUUGUGACUGGCAAGCUAGAGUCUGGCAGAGGGGGGUGGAAUUCCGCGUGUAGCAGUGAAAUGCGUAGAUAUGCGGAGGAACACCGAUGGCGAAGGCAGCCCCCUGGGCCAACACUGACGCUCAUGCACGAAAGCGUGGGGAGCAAACAGGAUUAGAUACCCCAGUAGUCCCUGUCUCUUAUA